GUCCACUCUUCGCUCCUCACGCAGCCCCUCCGCACGACCCUGCGCGGAGGCGCCUGGAGAAAGUGAGGAAGAGCAGGCGGCGGGAGGGCCUGGAUUUGCUAGUGGAACUAGGUUUUUCCCAAAAGAGGUGACAGAAUAACUGAGAAGAAUCUGCUGGGCUGUGGAAUCCAGUCCUGAGCUCACUAGGGAAAUAGCAAACUCAUCUAUAACCAGAUCUACAGCUUUUUUUUUUUUUUUUUUUAAGAAUCAAGUUAUUGAUUGAUCUAUUUCCUGAAAGAAAACCAUGAAAGCCCUCCUGGAGGCUGCCCAACCGUCUGUGAACUUGAACCUGAGAAAUGGACUUUUUUUUUCAUCAGGGUGAUCUCCUUCAGCUGAAUCAUCAGAAGUGGUGAGAAGAAAAGACCCCUACCCAACCAAACUGCUUCAGGCAAAUUCAAUCCAUCUGUCAAGGAAUGGAGCUGUACAGUGCGGCCAGAUCACCGUUUGCUUGCACCACCACUGAGCUAUCUCUCUAGGACUGCCACCUACAUAUUAAGUGGCUGGAAGGAGCCUUUCUGUGAAAACGACAUUUCAGCUGGGACCCGAGGAUGAAUUGGAAGGAGUGUGUGAAGUGAGUCCUCCUUGCCAUUUAAAGUACAGGAAAAAGAAUGAAACAUUGCCAUCUGCAGCAGCUUGAAUGGAUCUAGAGAUUAUCAUACUAAGUGAAGGGUACCUGUCUUGGGAGAACCAAAGGAUUGGUUGCAGGAUUUAAAAAAAAAAUGUUAUUUAGUUAUUUAUUGUUGGCUGUGCUGGAUCUUUGUUGCUGCAUAUG
Non-coding RNA from Odocoileus virginianus texanus, 811 nucleotides. Lineage: Eukaryota; Metazoa; Chordata; Mammalia; Artiodactyla; Cervidae. The record is from RefSeq and is a predicted model, not a curated record.